UACAGGGGGGGCAAGCGUUGUUCGGAAUUACUGGGCGUAAAGUGUGCGCAGGCGGCUUCGCAAGUCGAGUGUGAAAUCCCCGAGCUUAACUUGGGAAUUGCGCUCGAAACUACGGAGCUGGAGUGUGGCAGAGGAAGGUGGAAUUCCACGUGUAGCGGUGAAAUGCGUAGAGAUCCGGAGGAACACCAAAGGCGAAGGCAGUGUCCUGGGGAGUACCUGACGCUCAGGUGCGAAAGCCAGGGGAGCGAACGGG
Molecule: ribosomal RNA, 253 nt
Filed under: uncultured bacterium
Lineage: Bacteria
Description: partial 16S ribosomal RNA
Rfam family: Bacterial small subunit ribosomal RNA
Source: RNAcentral